Molecule: ribosomal RNA, 253 nt
Filed under: uncultured bacterium
Lineage: Bacteria
Description: partial 16S ribosomal RNA
Rfam family: Bacterial small subunit ribosomal RNA
Source: RNAcentral
UACGAAGGGGGCUAGCGUUGCUCGGAAUCACUGGGCGUAAAGGGUGCGUAGGCGGGUUUUUAAGUCAGGGGUGAAAUCCUGGAGCUCAACUCCAGAACUGCCUUUGAUACUGGCGAUCUUGAGUCCGGGAGAGGUGAGUGGAACUGCGAGUGUAGAGGUGAAAUUCGUAGAUAUUCGCAAGAACACCAGUGGCGAAGGCGGCUCACUGGCCCGGUACUGACGCUGAGGUGCGGAAGCGUGGGGAGCAAACAGG